RNAcentral lists this ribosomal RNA (167 nucleotides) under Clostridioides sp. ZZV14-6044. RNAcentral's name for it is "partial 16S ribosomal RNA". It matches the Rfam family "Bacterial small subunit ribosomal RNA", at positions 1 to 176 of the family's 1533-position model. The record is from RNAcentral. Lineage: Bacteria; Bacillati; Bacillota; Clostridia; Peptostreptococcales; Peptostreptococcaceae.
UUAGGGUAGAGUUCGAUACUGGCUCAGGAUGAACGCUGGCGGCGUGCGUAACUCAGGCAAGUUGAGCGAUUUACUUCGGUGAAGGGCGGCGGACGGGUGAGUAACGCGUGGGUAACCUACCCUGUACACAAGGAUAACAUCCCGAAAGGUAUGCGAAUACGGGAUAA